Molecule: long non-coding RNA, 2057 nt
Filed under: Nicotiana benthamiana
Lineage: Eukaryota; Viridiplantae; Streptophyta; Magnoliopsida; Solanales; Solanaceae
Description: long non-coding RNA (NBEN_LNC028436)
Source: RNAcentral
GGUCGAAUUUGCUAUGAGAAAACCAGCAGCAAGCAAGCAAACUACUGGGCUCAAGAAACAAGUGCAAGUAGCAAAGAUAUUCGUCCUCCCUUGUGAAUGACCCUAGAAGUUGAGGCUUAAUGAACCCAAAACUUGGAAGAAACCAAAGCUAAGGGUCAAGACUCAAUAUCGAGUCUAUCCAACAACAAAAUAUCAUUUGCACCCAAUGAUAAAUCGGAUAAGCCUCAUCGCUACACAGUACUUGAGACACAAAGGAAUUUCAAAGUCUACUGAAAAUACAUGCUAGACUCCAACUACACAAACAUCCAUGCUUGAAUUCAGUCCUAAGUUAAACUCACAAACAAAUCUGAAACUUCAAACCAAUUAACUCUUUCUCAAUAAAACAGUAACAAAUUUGAGGAAUUAGCAGUCUGCUUGAAUCCAAAAAUUAACACCCAAACUCUUAAAGAGCACAAGUUCAUUUAUAUAUAUCAUACUACAAACGUGAGACAACUAAGAUAACAUGAGUAAUUCAGGACUUAUUACAAAACACUAAAGAGAUAAAGGGAAACAAAAGAGAUAAAAUUCAAAUGCUACUUGUUUUCAGUCAGGCUCCAACUCAAAAUACAUCACUUGUGGACAAUGAUUCGAAAAUACCUAAAUAUAGAAAAACAAAAUCAGAAAGUCAAGCUGGAGAUCAAGAAGAAGAAGCAGCAAUAAGAGUAAUACAGCAAAGAAGAAAUGAGCAACAGGAUCAGCUCAAAAGUUCAACAAUGGAACAGUAAUCAAGCAGCUCUUAAACCAUCUUUUAAUCCCAGGAUAAGUCAGCAAUUCUUUGAAGGUUUCAAAAUUAAAAGAUUAACUUGAAAAAUUAGACCAAUUCCUACCCCAAAAUGCCAAAGUUUUCAAGUAUUUCUCAACUCAGCCACUCUCAACCUUCCUCAGAAAUUUCGUCUCUAAAGUCUGACUUGCUAAAGAAGAAAAGAUGCCUUUAUAGGAAAGUCUCAGGGCAACAUAAAAGGGAUUCAUAUUUGCAUUUCUACCCUUUUUAAAUUCUUAUUUUUGGUUACGUAACCUUAAUUUAAAAUCAGAUUUCUAAAAUAACUCCAAUCCCCUGCUUCCUAGAAGUAUCCCAAGCCUGAUAGGAGAGAUUCUUUGUCCUAAAUUCCCUAAUUUAUCCCUUAGGGCCCGGUUAAUUAUCUUAGAAAACUAAAUGGAUCAAAGGUCAGAUUGGCCUAAUGGUUUAACUCAAAAAUCCUAGGUUUGCAAGAGUAGAUUAAAUUUAUGAUUUCAAAGCCCGUAUAGAAUCAGUGGGCUAAGUAGAAUUGCUCAAGAGAAAAAUCGGAUUUCUUUUCUUUGAAAACCAGAAAAUGAAAUAACACAAAGAAAUAGAAAAAUUAAAAUGACAUGCAUGAACAAACUCGAUUUUAAAACACGCAAACAUAACUGAUUUAAAACGAAAACAAAAUGGAAAAGACAACGUAAUAGGAGAUGGAGACUAGAACUUAAACGAAACAAAAUAAAGAACAGGGAGAAAAUGAAAGAAAGGAGAAGAACUGAAAAAUACCUAAACCAAGUGGAAAAAUCUUGAAAAUCUUCAAAGGAGACUUUGAUUUUUGAACGAAAUGGGCCUUAAUCGUGUGUUCUCAAACGAAAACACACGAAUAAAGCCAAUUUCGGCCUUGAACCUUCGUUAAACUCACUAAUUUGGGUUUUGGAAUUUUAGGGUUCAUGCCUUUGAUUUAAGAUUCGACAAGAUCUGCGAUGAUUCGAAGGAAAAUGGUGCUGGAUUUGGUAUGAGGAGGCCACGAGGGUUUUGGGGUGUGGAUUUGGGGUGGUUUGGAGGUGGCGCUGUCGGUGGAGGUGGAGGUGGAGCUGUCGGCAGAGGUGGCGCUGCCGGUGGAGGCGGCGCUGUCGGUGGAGGGGGCGCUGUCGGUGGACGGCGUCUCUAGGGCUACUGGGCUAGAGACAAUGAGGAUUGAGAAGGGGGUUCUGAGGGAGGUAGGGCUAUUUCAGAGUGUUUUAUACAGGAGAGGGGUCGAGUUCUGAUCCGUUAGAUUGAAAGAGAUCAAUAGUUG